Molecule: long non-coding RNA, 1387 nt
Filed under: Capra hircus (goat)
Lineage: Eukaryota; Metazoa; Chordata; Mammalia; Artiodactyla; Bovidae
Description: lncRNA (ENSCHIG00010010415.1)
Source: RNAcentral
UGAAACUUACAGUAUAUCCAGGAUAUUCUUUUUCUGUAUUGAACUUUUGAUUUCCGCAUAAAGUAAUAAUCUUAGCAUGAGUUUUCCUCUUUUCUCACAAUAUUUACCACAUGGAAUUUACCUGUGAUUUUCCUUCCACACUGCUAUCUGGAAAAGUACAUAUUAGGUCAGUAGUUGCCUGGUGUAGAGGUUGGGACUGGUGUGACCGUAAAGGGGCAUGGGAGAAAUUUUGAGGAUUAUAGCUGUUUUCUGUUGUUGUGGAGCAAUUUCAUGGGUAUAUACAGUUAUCAAAACUCUGCAUAUCAUAUACCUAAAAUUGGUAUGUUUUAUCACCUUGAAAUUAUAUCAAUAAAAUUGAUUUUAAAUGUAUAGCGGGGGAUGUCAGAAAGAACCAGAAAUCAUUAGCAAGAUGUAGAGAAGGCCCAAUUAAAGAUUGCAUCUCAAAAAUUUAUCAGGGAACAUUUUUUCCAACAAUACUAUGUAGCUUGGAAUUGGACACUGGCAAAAUAAAAGUAUCAGAAAGGUGAAAUGUGGAGAAAACUCGGUGGAGGAAGAUUUAGAUUCUCUUUAGGAUAGUAUUACAGUGGCCGACUGGGACACCUGCUGGAUAGGGAAGCAAGUGCAGGUAAGAGUCUGAUAGUUCUGAGUGUGUGUGUGUGUGUGUGUGUGUGUGGGAUGGGGGCAGUGUAAUUGUAAAGAAGUGAAAAAUAAAAUCCAACAAAUGUGACGUGUGCUCGCUAUGUACAUAGUAUGCUUUUUUGUUUUGGAGUUCAGUAAUGAACACGAUACACAAGGUUACUACCACAAGAAUCUCACAUUUUUGCCAAAUUAAAUGGAUGAAUGAGAUUUAUAAAAAAAAAAAAAAAAAAAAANNNNNNNNNNNNNNNNCUGUUAUUUAUACCCAAGUGUGAAUAUUACAUGUGUUGGGCUCCAUGAUUUCUUAUAUCCCAUAUUUUUCUUUUUCUUGGAUAACUUUUUUUUUAGUUUCCUAGAAUGUAUUUUCACAUUAUUAUUUCAUAGACAUUCAGUGGAUUUUAAAUUUUCUGAGGUCUGGUAGGAAGAAUGUUCUUCAUCCUCUUUCUCAAAUACUACUGUUCUUCUGUACUAUGGUUUCAUCUUCACCAGUUUUUGGAAAAAAGUGCUUUUGGAAACUAAGCUAGAGGAAUAGAUCUUAUUGACCAUUUCUGGACAGUAGGUUAAGUAUUAAAGUCGUGCUGCUCUGCAGAAGCUGUCUACUUCCACCUGCCCUAGAGUUAGCCUUUCUCAAAAACAUUUACCCAAAACAUUUUUCAACAACACUUACACCAAAUGAUGAAAAAUGCACAUGAACAUAUUGCUGUGUAGAAUUAUUAUCAAAGAGUGGUAAGGGCAUCGUUUGUAUAUGACC